UACGUAGGGUGCAAGCGUUAAUCGGAAUUACUGGGCGUAAAGCGUGCGCAGGCGGUUUUGUAAGUCUGACGUGAAAUCCCCGGGCUCAACCUGGGAACUGCAUUGGUGACUGCAUUGCUGGAGUAUGGCAGAGGGGGGUGGAAUUCCUGGUGUAGCGGUGAAAUGCGUAGAUAUCAGGAGGAACACCGGUGGCGAAGGCGGCGUUCUGGACUGUCUCUGACACUGAAGAACGAAAGCCAGGGGAGCAAACGGG
RNAcentral lists this ribosomal RNA (253 nucleotides) under uncultured bacterium. RNAcentral's name for it is "partial 16S ribosomal RNA". It matches the Rfam family "Bacterial small subunit ribosomal RNA", at positions 524 to 776 of the family's 1533-position model. The record is from RNAcentral.